Non-coding RNA from Triticum urartu, 135 nucleotides. Lineage: Eukaryota; Viridiplantae; Streptophyta; Magnoliopsida; Poales; Poaceae. The record is from Rfam.
CAUGUACUCCCUCCGUCCCAAAAUUCUUGUCUUGGAUUUGUCUAAAUUGGGAUAUAUCUAAAACUAAAACGUGACUUGAUACAUCCAUAUUUAGAUAAAUCUAAAACAAGAAUUUUGGGACGGAUGGAGUAUAUA